AAGGAUGUAGCUCAGUGGUAGAAUGUGUGCUUGGCAUGCACAAGGUCCUGGUUUCAAUCCCCAGUACCUCUG
This 72-nucleotide transfer RNA is filed under the name Camelus bactrianus (Bactrian camel). It matches the Rfam family "tRNA". From Rfam's summary of the family: Transfer RNA (tRNA) molecules are approximately 80 nucleotides in length. Their secondary structure includes four short double-helical elements and three loops (D, anti-codon, and T loops). The record is from Rfam by way of RNAcentral. Lineage: Eukaryota; Metazoa; Chordata; Mammalia; Artiodactyla; Camelidae. RNAcentral also lists the same sequence under 2 other names.